RNAcentral lists this ribosomal RNA (402 nucleotides) under uncultured prokaryote. Its description in RNAcentral is "bacterial SSU rRNA". It matches the Rfam family "Bacterial small subunit ribosomal RNA", at positions 355 to 774 of the family's 1533-position model. The record is from RNAcentral.
UAGGGAAUAUUAGAAAUGGACGAAAGUCUGAUCUAGCAACACCGCGUGUGCGAAGCAGGCCUUCGGGUUGUAAAGCACUUUUUAGAAGGAUUAGGAAGGAAUGUACUUCCAGAAUAAGUCUCGGCUAACUACGUGCCAGCAGCCGCGGUAACACGUAGGAGGCAAACGUUAUCCGGAUUUACUGGGCGUAAAGCGCGUGUAGGUGGUUCUGUAAGUAGGGCGUGAAAGCUCCUGGCUCAACUGGGAGAGGCCGUUCUAAACUGCAGAGCUAGAGGAUGGUAGAGGGGGGUGGAAUUGCGGGUGUAGCGGUGGAAUGCGCAGAUAUCCGGAGGAACACCAGUGGCGAAAGCGGCCUCCUGGACCAUGCCUGACACUCAGACGCGAGGGCUAGGGUAGCAAACG